Long non-coding RNA from Spinacia oleracea (spinach), 512 nucleotides. RefSeq lists it as uncharacterized. The record is from RefSeq and is a predicted model, not a curated record. Lineage: Eukaryota; Viridiplantae; Streptophyta; Magnoliopsida; Caryophyllales; Amaranthaceae. The transcript has 2 exons.
UUGUGUUUUCAACAAUUUCUGAGUGAGUGUGCAACUGCAGCCUGUGCAAACACAAACAGGUAAAGGUUCUAGUCCAUCCAGCUGAUCCCACAGAAGUUUGAUCUUGUUUUGAGGUACAGAACACUUCUUGCAACUGAAGCUUCAAGUGAGGCCAAUAUCCAUGAAAUGACCAAGUCAUUGCACCUGAUCCACAUUCUGUAGUUUGUAGAAUUAGUUGCUGGUUGAUUCAGACUGCCAUCUACAAAGCAAAGCUUAUUCCUAGCAGACAAUGCUAUCAUCAUUGAUCUUCUCCAAUCACUGAAGCUUUUUCCUUCACCAUCAAACUCAAUAUUCACCAAUUUGGUGGUAUUCAGAUCACUAUUACUGAGAUAGUAAGCAGAAUUAGGAUUCUGUGAUGAAUCUUGCUGAUCUGAAGGCAUUUUAUUAUUGCGAAAUCACAAUUUCUCUGAAGAUUUGAUUAAAGAAUUAACAAGAAGAAGAGAAAGAACGCAGGAUCAAUUGAUCACUACUCU